GCCGUACCCGCGGCGCUUCCAGUAGGCCUUGAUGCCGCCCCUGUAGGUGGCGCCGCCGGCUCCGGCCAUGGCGCGCGCGGUGGCGUCUGUUGGUUUCUUCUCUUGGGCAAGGGGAGGUGAGGUUGGCUUCGUGGAGUUGUGGGUGGCGAGCUGAGCUCUCGCGUGGCGUAUAAAAAUGGGGAGGACAGCGAGCAAUGACGUAGCUGCACUACUUGUACUAGAGUCUAGCCCAUGAUACCCCUGGUAAACUCCAGCUUUGAUUCCCUUUUGUCUUCUAGAAGGCCAUGUAUCUGCCCUUCAAAUAAAAUCGUCUUUAAGGUUUUAUCCUCUAAGACCAUUCAUAGUAAAAAUAUACUUUUAUAUGGCCGUUUACGGUACACCAG
RNAcentral lists this long non-coding RNA (383 nucleotides) under Oryza brachyantha (malo sina). RNAcentral's name for it is "long non-coding RNA (OBRA_LNC001421)". Lineage: Eukaryota; Viridiplantae; Streptophyta; Magnoliopsida; Poales; Poaceae. The record is from RNAcentral.